AGAGAGAGAGAGAGAGAGAGAGAGAGGAGAGGAGAGAUAGAGAUGGUUCUAUGGUGGGAAACAGAAACCGCUGUGCAAAGAGACGUAGAGUGGUGGUACUAAAAAGAGAGAGAGUGAGUGAGAGAUAUUGUACAUUGGUGGUAGGGAGCAGCAAGUACGAACGAUGAGUGUUUAAUAAGCGAUAACGUGCCGCUUCUUCGGUUGUAUAGAAAAUCGAUAUGUCCGAUCAUCGAUUUCAAGUUGCAUUGGGAUCCUUAAUCGAUGCACGUUACGAAAAGUAGCACGUUUCAUUUGUUCUUACGAAAAUUAGCGCUUUGUAUUUAAUAAUUAAAAAAAAAGGCAAGAAGUAAUCUGCUUGUUAUAAUGAUUCUACUGAUUAUAACAAACAUGUUACUUUUUGAGAACAAAAUCGGAAGGUGCUUUUUUCGUGAUAAAUUGAAAUGUGCUAGUUUUCAUGAGAUAAAUGAAACGUGCUACUUUCCGCAACGUACGUCGUAAUACGUUCGUUGUCAAGCUUGUUUCAAUUGAUUUGAAAAACUUAGUUUAAGUAACAAUUGCGGGAUUGUAUUUAUAUCGUUUAAAUGAAAUAUAUUUCUUUAUUAUUGUUAUUACCAAUAAUCGUAAUCACAUUAUUACGAGUGUAAACACGUAAUCCUAGGAUAUACACAAAUUAUGAUCAAAAUAAAACACAUUCUGCAUCGAUGAUGAACGAAUUUAUUAAUAUGGACGUGAUGUAACGAUUAACACGUAUUCGUAGAAUCGUAGCGUGAAAGGAGAGGUUGAAGAAGCAAGAAGGAUGACGAGGGUAUACGGCCAAGAGACAUUUCGGUAAGAAUAAAAGAGAAAGGAAAUCAUUGGAAGGGAUAACAAAAAGUCACGUCGACGGGAGAAGGAAGGGGAGGACGGGGCAGCGGUAAAAUGCAGGUAAGAGGCAGGUCGUGACACCGGUUAGUCGGAGAGACUAGAAACGCAACGAGUGAUUUCAAAAAGCUCAAAGUCGAAGGAGAAGGCGAGACGAUGGGAAAGUGCGUGACAAUACUAUACUUAACAUAUCUACUCCUUCGACCCACGAUCGAAUAACUCUGUGUACACUUCGUGAAGAAUGAAAUUGAAUUUAUAUUUCCGGAUUUCUCUUGGGUAUCACGAAAAUAAAAUGGAGAAGCGUUAGAACCGUAUGCUAAUAUUUGCAUACUUUAUAUUUGUCAUGAAGAAGUAAAAAAGGAAGAAGAAUAUUUCUCUCUUUCAUAUUUUUCUUUUUUCAAAAGAUUUGCAAAACAUUUGCCAAAGCAUAAGUGUUCGUGGAAGAUAGAACGUCCGAGAGCGGAGAGAAAUGAAGAAAGAAAAAUGUAGAAAAGAAAAUACAGAAAGCGAAGAAGGGAGAGAUGAAAAUUCUGCCUAUAUUAAUGCUGAUGAGAAAGCUCGAAGAAGAGAAUAAGAAGAACAAAUAGAGGAUAAAAAAGAUGGAGCAGUUGGUUUAAGAAGAUGGAAAAGAGCGAAUCAAGUGGCAGGAGUAAGGAAGUAAAGACAAGUGCGACAAGUGUUCGACGCACGCGCGACCUACGAGCGGAGACACGCUGAUCGAUCCCUAAAGAGACCUCGAGUGUGAUGUCAUCGGCAAGCCGGAUCUGUUCCAGGCUUAAGCGAUGUGUCAACUUGCUGAUUGAACGUUAUUUGUCGAUGAAUAAAGCAAAAAAAAAAAAAAACAAAAAAAAAAAAACAAAAAAAAGAAAAUAAAAAGGAAGAAAAAACAAGAAGAACAAAAAAAAGAAAAAGAAGGAAGUGUCUCAAGGACAAUAAGAAUUAACGAACGUCUCCGGAACUAUUGGAAGGAUCAUCACUGAGAAGAGAGAAACGAAUAUAUGUAUCUGAAACAAGUAAACAUAUUUUAUAAAGUGUUACAUUAUUUAAGUUUCUAUUUCUUCGACGUAAAUAAUGAAAUAAAUGAAUAAAAGGAUUUUAAUUAAUAAA
Vespa crabro (European hornet) is the source of this 1968-nucleotide long non-coding RNA. RefSeq lists it as uncharacterized. NCBI's taxonomy places the organism in Eukaryota, Metazoa, Arthropoda, Insecta, Hymenoptera, Vespidae. The transcript is spliced from 2 exons. The record is from RefSeq and is a predicted model, not a curated record.